Long non-coding RNA from Oryzias latipes (Japanese medaka), 544 nucleotides. RefSeq lists it as uncharacterized. The record is from RefSeq and is a predicted model, not a curated record. Lineage: Eukaryota; Metazoa; Chordata; Actinopteri; Beloniformes; Adrianichthyidae.
UUUGCAUCUGACUAUCUGAAAUACUUACCAAAGAAUCAUCUACAUCUCAAAGCAAAUGCUUGGAGUACAACUUUUUUACAUCAGGCAAACUCAGCACCACUCCACAUUUCAGUUGUGACCCUUUUCCCCUCAGACUGGAUUGGCUGACCCCCUUUGACCAGCUGGCUUGGCCACAGUAAAUCCUAGAGACUGCUCAUGCUACAGGCCUUGGGAGUUGGUGUUGGAAACAGGCCAGGAAGUGCCACUCCAGAUUAGAAGUCAUCUGGUGCCUCGAACGGAGCUCUUUGAAAAGGAGGCUGCUGCAUCUUUGGAGAUAGUUCAAAUUUCCUCUUUGAUUAUUUUCCUUUCCCCUCCAAAAUGAAUCUUUAUUAAGCUUAAAUCCUGAAUAAAAUGAAAUUAGCAGACUGCAAAAUAUUGCUUUCUUUUCUGCCUCUAUUCCCCUGUGCACACAUGCAAAUUAUAAUGCUUAUUUAUGUAAAUGAGGUGUCGUCUUUAAUUAGUUUUGCUUGAGGGCAUUAAAAUACAUGUAUUCUUCCCCAAAAAA